Pelobates cultripes (western spadefoot toad) is the source of this 329-nucleotide non-coding RNA. Lineage: Eukaryota; Metazoa; Chordata; Amphibia; Anura; Pelobatidae. The record is from the annotation of a GenBank genome assembly.
CCAGUACAGUCAGUUCUGCUUGAUCCUCAAACGUAGUGUCGUCUCGUUAUUGGGGGAAUUGGAUUGUAUGCUGAUUGCCAGGAGUGUAAGCUGAUUGUAUGCUUUUCCUGUUCAGCUGCUUACAGCAUUCAUAUGCUUGAGAGCAUUCGUAUGCUUCUACGGUUCGGUGGUUGUGGUGUCUGCUGCAAUGCUUGGAAUCCUCAGGAAGCGCUAGGAGCAUCCUUCAACGUAGGUACCCAGUCUGGGUGCCAGGUGAUCCGUUACAAUGAGCAUAGAAGCAUUGUGCCCAAAAAUGUGGAUCAAGUGGUGAGGAUAUAGCUUAUUAUAAC